AUACCAUAGUUGCUUAUUACGAUUAACUUUAACAAUUAAUUUUUAAAUUGAUUAAUUAAAGAUGGAAUUAUUUUAAUGUGUUGUUUGCUUGUAAUGUUAGGCUAUGCAUAAAAUUAGUGGUGAAUUAAGCAUUAAGAAAAGGAAGAGAAAAUAAUUCUAUUGUUAUAUAUUGCAAUAACAUGUUUGCAAUGAGGUAAGUAAUUUCUAUUGUUUCAUUAAAAAAGAAUGGAGAUCCAACAUGUCAUCCAUCGCCACCCCUUGUCAUUGUCAUUCAUUGAGGAGAGGAGUUCAAUAGCAUGGUGCAAAGGAUGUGUGAGGAAGUUAUCCGGUCCGACCUAUGGGUGCGAACCUUGUAGCUGGAAAAUCUCCUACUAAAGCGCAUUAGAUUACACGAAGGACAACUGGUAUUAGAAGCAAAAAUGAAGCAAUUAGAAGCAACAAGGAGGCAGUUAGAAGAAGACUUGAAUGGUGCGAAAAAAUGAGGUGAGGAAGACAGAAGGCAUGUUAGAUAACCUAGCGAGAGGUAACUCAGAGUUGUUAAUCAAACUAGUGAAAAAUAACUCUCAAUUGCAAGAUUUGUUCGAUAAUGCGAAUAAUCAAGGUUUGAUGAUCGAACUAUUGAUAUAAAAAAAUAAAAAAUAUUUGUAAUCAAA
Molecule: long non-coding RNA, 653 nt
Organism: Gossypium arboreum
Lineage: Eukaryota; Viridiplantae; Streptophyta; Magnoliopsida; Malvales; Malvaceae
Exons: 2
Source: RefSeq, a predicted model, not a curated record